This 479-nucleotide long non-coding RNA is filed under the name Polistes fuscatus (common paper wasp). Its description in RNAcentral is "uncharacterized LOC122525344, transcript variant X2". Lineage: Eukaryota; Metazoa; Arthropoda; Insecta; Hymenoptera; Vespidae. The record is from RNAcentral.
UUUGAUAUGCAUAAAGUAUGCAUUUAGCAUAGGGACCGAAGCGACACGCGUUGGCGAUUCGGUCACUAUCCGUUAGUCAGGCCUCAACCGUCUGCUGUUAGAGUAAUGGUCGAUCGUUGCGUGAAGCCUAGGUUUCUCGUAAAAAAAAUUAGAGUCAGUGGAUUAGUCCGAUCGGGGGGAAACCACUUAAAACAAAAAUCGUGAAAAGUUCCACCUCAAAAGUUCUACUUUUCCCUAUUCUAUUCCUAUUCCUUUUAAUAUUUUCUUUGCAGGAUGAACUAUGAUGCCAAAUUCCGUCCAAGAGGAGGAGGAAACGAGUCCAAAGAGGAGUAAGUUAUGAUAACCAUUCCGUCCAAGAGAAGGGGAAACGAACCGUAGGAGGACUGAGUUAUAGUAAAUGUUUAUUGUUUCAUAUGACCAUUCCGUCCAAGAGGAAGGGGAAGUGGAUUAGAAGAUGACCAGAAAAGGACAGAGUUAUG